Molecule: long non-coding RNA, 905 nt
Filed under: Calidris pugnax (ruff)
Lineage: Eukaryota; Metazoa; Chordata; Aves; Charadriiformes; Scolopacidae
Description: lncRNA (ENSCPUG00000014074.1)
Source: RNAcentral
UUCUAAGAGGUUGAGGAGGUGCCUCUUUACUGACCAUGGUGCUAUGGGCUGGCAAUUGCCACCCUCUGUUCUCCUGUGACAGGUCUGUGUUCAGCUGGGUACUACUGUGAAGGAGGAGCCACUGAUGUCAUUCCCCGAGGGACACCUGCCUUCCCACUCAAUGGGCCCUGCCCACUUGGGCACUAUUGUCCAGAGGGUACUCAUUUCCCAAUUGCCUGCCCAGCUGGGACCCUGAACAAUGCCACAGGUGGUACGUCCCCGGAGAGCUGUGUGCCAUGCCAUCCUGGGUCUUUCUGUGCUGGCACUGGUUUGAGUUCUCCAACAGGACCUUGUACUGAGGGGUUUUACUGCCCGGCAAACUUCAGCUCCAUCAGCCCCACGGCUUUCCUCUGCCCUAAGGGUCACUUCUGCCAGACAGGGGCAGCCCUCCCCAUGCCGUGCCCUGCUGGGGAAUACCAGCCGGCCAGGGGCUCUGCAUCCUGUGUUCCGUGCCAGAGAGGAUUCUACUGCCAGGAGCCAGUGGCAGGAGACCCCAAGCGCUGCCCACCACAUUCUUACUGUCCUACAGGCACAUGGGUUCCUCUCACGUGUCCUGAAGGCACCUUCACUCCUGCAAACAUGACUGGCCUCUGGAACGAGGAGGAAUGCCUGCCUUGCUUACCCGGUCACUACUGCAGGCACGGACGGCUGGAGGGGAAGUGUGCUGCUGGAUAUUUCUGCUUUGCUGGGAGCUCUCAAUCUGCUCCCCAGGGCCACAGCUUUUCCUGGCGCUUCCUCUCUGGGUGCCGCUGGGGUCAGGCUUGUGCAGGGCUGUGUCCUGCAGGUAAGUGGGAAUCUCAAUAGUUUUUCAAGUAUAGAAUAUUGAUUUGCUUCUAAGCAACUGGAGAGCAUCUUUUAUCUUGCAU